RNAcentral lists this ribosomal RNA (301 nucleotides) under uncultured bacterium. RNAcentral's name for it is "partial 16S ribosomal RNA". It matches the Rfam family "Bacterial small subunit ribosomal RNA", at positions 509 to 807 of the family's 1533-position model. The record is from RNAcentral.
CAGUCGCCGCGGUAAUACGUAGGGUGCGAGCGUUAAUCGGAAUUACUGGGCGUAAAGCGUGCGCAGGCGGUUGUGUAAGACAGGUGUGAAAUCCCCGGGCUCAACCUGGGAACUGCAUUUGUGACUGGCAAGCUAGAGUGUGGCAGAGGGGGGUGGAAUUCCGCGUGUAGCAGUGGAAUGCGUAGAUAUGCGGAGGAACACCGAUGGCGAAGGCAGCCCCCUGGGCCAACACUGACGCUCAUGCACGAAAGCGUGGGGAGCAAACAGGAUUAGAUACCCCCGUAGUCCCUGUCUCUUAUAC